AUAGACAAUCGACGCCCGGAAGUUGGAUGGAUACGGAAGUUACGGAGGCGGGACUUAUUCUGGAGAGGUCUAUUGCCUUGUCACAGACCAGACGAUUUUCAACGGAACUAUGAGCUAAAAUGAUCAGCAUCAGGCUCCAGUCUGGUUUGGGGGUCUACCCUUUCUCAUCCUGGCCUGCCAGCCAAGUAAAAAGAGAAAUAACUACAGACCUCUGCAACUGCUGAUACCGGUUCAGGAUGAACUGCAGAUGCUGUGAGAGAGUCAGUGGUUCAACCAGCCAACAAACAGGAAAAGCUCAAGGCGGAGUCUUAACUGUCAGCAACUCUACCCAAAAAAAUCAGGCUACUGUUAUUUCCCACUAAGAAAAACAGUGGUCUGGUAUGAAGGUUAUCUGUGUUUUG
This is a long non-coding RNA of Alosa sapidissima (American shad), 401 nucleotides long. RefSeq lists it as uncharacterized. The transcript has 3 exons. NCBI's taxonomy places the organism in Eukaryota, Metazoa, Chordata, Actinopteri, Clupeiformes, Clupeidae. The record is from RefSeq and is a predicted model, not a curated record.